GGGUUGUCGCUGGCCUCUCGGGGCAUGUGCACGCCCGAGCCCUUGAAUCCCAAACACACAUGUGAACCCACCGUAGGCNUUCGGGCCUAUGUCUUAUCAUAUAAUCCUGAAUGUCUAAUAGAAUGUAAACCCAUUUCGUUGCCUUGAAAACGUAACGAAAGAAAACUAUACAACUUUCAACAACGGAUCUCUGGCUCUNNGAAAUGCGAUAAGUAAUGUGAAUUGCAGGAUUUUCAGUGAAUCAUCGAAUCUUUGAACGCACCUUGCGCCCCUUGGUAUUCCGAGGGGCAUGCCUGUUUGAGUGUCAUUAAAUCCUCAACCCCUCCGAUUCGUUUCGGUGGGGAUUGGACUUGGAGCGUGCUGGCGAAGGUCGGCUCCUCUUUAAAUGCAUCAGCGGAGAAAAUGCCUUUUGCGCCUCUGGCCGUUCAGCGUGAUAAUGAUGUUGCGCUGCGGUCGAGCUUAAGGUCCGCUUCCAAAGGUCCUCUCGGACGAUAUAUACAUAUGACUUUUGACCUCAAAUCAGGUAGGACUACCCGCUGAACUUAAGCAUAUCAAUAAGCGGAGGAAAAGAAACUAACAAGGAUUCCCCUAGUAACUGCGAGUGAAGCGGGAAAAGCUCAAAUUUAAAAUCUGGCGGUCUCCGGCCGUCCGAGUUGUAAUCUGGAGAAGCGUUUUCCGCGUCGGACCGUGUACAAGUCUUCUGGAACGGAGCGUCGUAGAGGGUGAGAAUCCCGUCUCUGACACGGACUGCCGAUGCUUUUGUGAUACGCUCUCGAAGAGUCGAGUUGUUUGGGAAUGCAGCUCAAAAUGGGUGGUAAAUUCCAUCUAAAGCUAAAUAUUGGCGAGAGACCGAUAGCGAACAAGUACCGUGAGGGAAAGAUGAAAAGCACUUUGGAAAGAGAGUUAAACAGUA
This 913-nucleotide ribosomal RNA is filed under the name ectomycorrhizal root tip 121_Ny1.B2-9.3. RNAcentral's name for it is "eukaryotic LSU rRNA". The stretch from base 510 to 913 matches the Rfam family "Eukaryotic large subunit ribosomal RNA", at positions 1 to 397 of the family's 3401-position model. Lineage: Eukaryota; Fungi. The record is from RNAcentral.